UAGGGAAUCUUCGGCAAUGGACGAAAGUCUGACCGAGCAACGCCGCGUGAGUGAAGAAGGUUUUCGGAUCGUAAAACUCUGUUGUUAGAGAAGAACAAGGACGUUAGUAACUGAACGUCCCCUGACGGUAUCUAACCAGAAAGCCACGGCUAACUACGUGCCAGCAGCCGCGGUAAUACGUAGGUGGCAAGCGUUGUCCGGAUUUAUUGGGCGUAAAGCGAGCGCAGGCGGUUUCUUAAGUCUGAUGUGAAAGCCCCCGGCUCAACCGGGGAGGGUGAUUGGAAACUGGGAGAAUUGAGUGCAGAAGAGGAGAGUGGAAUUCCAUGUGUAGCGGUGAAAUGCGUAGAUAUAUGGAGGAACACCAGUGGGGAAGGCGGCUCUCUGGUCUGUAACUGACGCUGAGGCUCGAAAGCGUGGGGAGCAAACAGG
This 429-nucleotide ribosomal RNA is filed under the name Chloroflexota bacterium. Its description in RNAcentral is "Chloroflexi bacterium partial 16S ribosomal RNA". It matches the Rfam family "Bacterial small subunit ribosomal RNA", at positions 355 to 776 of the family's 1533-position model. The record is from RNAcentral. Lineage: Bacteria; Bacillati; Chloroflexota.